GGGGUCAAAGGAGCAAUCCGGUAUAAGAGGGGUUCGCGUCCCAUUAGCUAGUUGGUGGAGUAACGGUUCACCAAGGCAACGAUGGGUAUCCGAGCUGAGAGGCUGAACGGACACACUGGGACUGAGAUACGGCCCAGACUCCUACGGGAGGCAGCAGGGAGGAAUAUUGGUCAAUGGGGGAAACCCUGAACCAGCAACGCCGCGUGAAGGAAGAAGGCCCUCGGGUUGUAAACUUCUGUUUUCAGGGACGAAGAAAGUGACGGUACCUGAAGAGAAAGCUCCGGCAAACUACGUGCCAGCAGCCGCGGUAAUACGUAGGGAGCGAGCGUUGUCCGGAAUCACUGGGCGUAAAGGGCGCGUAGGCGGUUUUACAAGUUGCAUGUGAAAGACCAUGGCUUAACCAUGGGGUGUCAUGCAAAACUGUAGGGCUUGAGUGCAGUAGAGGAAAGCGGAAUUCCUGGUGUAGCGGUAAAAUGCGUAGAGAUCAGGAGGAACACCGGUGGCGAAGGCGGCUUUCUGGGCUGUAACUGACGCUGAGGCGCGAAAGCGUGGGGAGCGAACAGGAUUAGAUACCCUGGUAGUCCACGCCGUAAACGAUGAAUAUUAGGUGUAGGCCUUUAAGGUCUGUGCCGGAGCAAACGCAAUAAAUAUUCCGCCUGGGGAGUACGGCCGCAAGGUUGAAACUCAAAAGAAUUGACGG
This 700-nucleotide ribosomal RNA is filed under the name uncultured Thermoanaerobacterales bacterium. RNAcentral's name for it is "bacterial SSU rRNA". It matches the Rfam family "Bacterial small subunit ribosomal RNA", at positions 197 to 916 of the family's 1533-position model. Lineage: Bacteria; Bacillati; Bacillota; Clostridia; Thermoanaerobacterales. The record is from RNAcentral.